Long non-coding RNA from Cygnus olor (mute swan), 378 nucleotides. RefSeq lists it as uncharacterized. The transcript has 3 exons. NCBI's taxonomy places the organism in Eukaryota, Metazoa, Chordata, Aves, Anseriformes, Anatidae. The record is from RefSeq and is a predicted model, not a curated record.
UCUGGGUAUCUCAUGUUGAAAGCAUUUGUGUAAGUGUAUGUGUUUGAGACAAAGUAUUGUUGUGAAGUGAGUUACUCCAGGAGGAACACGGCCAGAGACGAUACAAACAAGUUUGGUUAUUGUUUUAAGUGAUAUAUUCUUGUGGUAUGAACGAGAAGUGCAAGGGGACUCUCUGUGUGAUUGCGUAAUUGUGCUGUGUGAGUGAGACGCAGCAUCGCUGCGAAGAGAGUGAGAAGUUCCGAUCUGCGGUUCCGUAUUCUCCGUGAGGGGAACGGCUGGAGACGAACAAAGCGCAUGACAGACUGAAAAGAAGUGCUGUUUUAUCCAAGUGUUGAUUGGUGGUGCCCAAUAUACGGGCCCGGGGGUGCACAAUAUACA